RNAcentral lists this long non-coding RNA (313 nucleotides) under Physcomitrium patens. RNAcentral's name for it is "long non-coding RNA (PPAT_LNC013573)". The record is from RNAcentral. Lineage: Eukaryota; Viridiplantae; Streptophyta; Bryopsida; Funariales; Funariaceae.
CAACAACUUUACAAGCAAGGUUUUGGAAUUCAGCAGUAUAUGUGGUGCCUAAUCUUGAUCCUUAUUGUAAAGAUAAGAAUUUAGUCUCUAUUACUUAUUCUUGAUCACUUUCUCUAAAUGUAGCCAUAAACUUUUCUAAGAAUGAAUUUAAGCUUUAUAAAGAAGUCUUUAAUAUUUUUCCAUCAAAGGUGCAAACUAAGAAAGAAUACUUCCAAAUAAAAGUGUGCUUAUGAAGUUGACUUGAGUAAAUCUAUCCGCAUAUUGGGAAGGUUGUAACCUUAGGUAGAGUUUAAUUUAUUGUAAAACCCUCAAA